This 253-nucleotide ribosomal RNA is filed under the name uncultured bacterium. Its description in RNAcentral is "partial 16S ribosomal RNA". It matches the Rfam family "Bacterial small subunit ribosomal RNA", at positions 524 to 776 of the family's 1533-position model. The record is from RNAcentral.
UACGAAGGGGGCUAGCGUUGCUCGGAAUUACUGGGCGUAAAGGGUGUGCAGGCGGGCUGUUAAGUGGUGUAUGAAAUAUCCCGGCUCAACCGGGAGAGGUUAUGCCAGACUGGCAGUCUAGAGAGCGAGAGAGGGACGUGGAAUUCCGGGUGUAGUGGUGAAAUGCGUAGAGAUCCGGAGGAACCCCAGAGGCGAAGGCGGCGUCCUGGCUCGCAUCUGACGCUCAGACACGACAGCAUGGGGAGCGAACGGG